CGGACGGGUGAGUAAUGUCUGGGAAACUGCCUGAUGGAGGGGGAUAACUACUGGAAACGGUAGCUAAUACCGCAUAACGUCGCAAGACCAAAGAGGGGGACCUUCGGGCCUCUUGCCAUCGGAUGUGCCCAGAUGGGAUUAGCUAGUAGGUGGGGUAAAGGCUCACCUAGGCGACGAUCCCUAGCUGGUCUGAGAGGCUGACCAGCCACACUGGAACUGAGACACGGUCCAG
This 232-nucleotide ribosomal RNA is filed under the name uncultured bacterium. Its description in RNAcentral is "partial 16S ribosomal RNA". It matches the Rfam family "Bacterial small subunit ribosomal RNA", at positions 99 to 334 of the family's 1533-position model. The record is from RNAcentral.